UACGAAGGGGGCUAGCGUUGUUCGGAUUUACUGGGCGUAAAGCGCACGUAGGCGGAUCGUUAAGUCGGGGGUGAAAUCCUGGAGCUCAACUCCAGAACUGCCUUCGAUACUGGCGAUCUUGAGUCCGGAAGAGGUGAGUGGAACUCCUAGUGUAGAGGUGGAAUUCGUAGAUAUCAGGAGGAACACCGGUGGCGAAGGCGGCGGCCUGGACCGGUACUGACGCUGAGACGCGAAAGCGUGGGGAGCAAACAGG
This 253-nucleotide ribosomal RNA is filed under the name uncultured bacterium. Its description in RNAcentral is "partial 16S ribosomal RNA". It matches the Rfam family "Bacterial small subunit ribosomal RNA", at positions 524 to 776 of the family's 1533-position model. The record is from RNAcentral.